UGAGGAAUAUUGGUCAAUGGGCGGGAGCCUGAACCAGCCAAGCCGCGUGAGGGAGGAAGGCCCUAUGGGUCGUAAACCUCUUUUGUCAGGGAACAAAAGCGAGUAUGUAUACUAGUCUGAGUGUACCUGAAGAAAAACGCAUCGGCUAACUCCGUGCCAGCAGCCGCGGUAAUACGGAGGAUGCGAGCGUUAUCCGGAUUUAUUGGGUUUAAAGGGUGCGUAGGCGGCGGUGCAAGUCAGCGGUAAAAGCCCGGGGCUCAACCCCGGCGAGCCGUUGAAACUGCAGUGCUAGAGAAGGCGAGAGGUACGCGGAAUGCGCAGUGUAGCGGUGAAAUGCUUAGAUAUUGCGCAGAACUCCGAUUGCGAAGGCAGCGUACUGGCGCCUGACUGACGCUGAGGCACGAAAGCGUGGGUAUCGAACAGGAUUAGAUACC
This 434-nucleotide ribosomal RNA is filed under the name uncultured bacterium. RNAcentral's name for it is "bacterial SSU rRNA". It matches the Rfam family "Bacterial small subunit ribosomal RNA", at positions 355 to 786 of the family's 1533-position model. The record is from RNAcentral.